CCUACGGGAGGCAGCAGUGAGGAAUAUUGGUCAAUGGUCGGGAGCCUGAACCAGCCAAGCCGCGUGAAGGAUGAAUGUACAACGUGUCGUAAACCUCUUUUGUCAAGGAACAAAGUCGGGGACGCGUGCCCUUAUGAGUGUACCUUAUGAAAAAGCAUCGGCUAACUCCGUGCCAGCAGCCGCGGUAAUACGGAGGAUGCGAGCGUUAUCCGGAUUUAUUGGGUUUAAAGGGUGCGGAGACGGGUUGUUAAGUCAGUGGUGAAAGGCCGCGGCUCAACCGCAGCACUGCAGUUGAUACUGGCAGUCUUGAGUAGGAGUGAGGUAGGCGGAAUGCGUGGUGUAGCGGUGAAAUGCAUAGAUAUCGCGAAGAACUCCGAUUGCGAAGGCAGCAUGCUGACUCCACACUGACGCUGAGGCACGAAAGCGUGGGUAUCGAACAGGAUUAGAUACCCCUGUAGUC
Molecule: ribosomal RNA, 460 nt
Filed under: uncultured bacterium
Lineage: Bacteria
Description: partial 16S ribosomal RNA
Rfam family: Bacterial small subunit ribosomal RNA
Source: RNAcentral